CGGGCGUGCCUAAUACAUGCAAGUCGAGCAAGCUUGCCUAGAUGAUUUUAGUGCUUGCACUAAAUGAAACUAGAUACAAGCGAGCGGCGGACGGGUGAGUAACACGUGGGUAACCUGCCCAAGAGACUGGGAUAACACCUGGAAACAGAUGCUAAUACCGGAUAACAACACUAGACGCAUGUCUAGAGUUUGAAAGAUGGUUCUGCUAUCACUCUUGGAUGGACCUGCGGUGCAUUAGCUAGUUGGUAAGGUAACGGCUUACCAAGGCAAUGAUGCAUAGCCGAGUUGAGAGACUGAUCGGCCACAUUGGGACUGAGACACGGCCCAAACUCCUACGGGAGGCAGCAGUAGGGAAUCUUCCGCAAUGGGCGAAAGCCUGACGGAGCAAUGCCGCGUGGAGGUGGAAGGCCUACGGGUCGUCAACUUCUUUUCUCGGAGAAGAAACAAUGACGGUAUCUGAGGAAUAAGCAUCGGCUAACUCUGUG
Molecule: ribosomal RNA, 485 nt
Filed under: uncultured Lactobacillales bacterium
Lineage: Bacteria; Bacillati; Bacillota; Bacilli; Lactobacillales
Description: bacterial SSU rRNA
Rfam family: Bacterial small subunit ribosomal RNA
Source: RNAcentral